This 20012-nucleotide long non-coding RNA is filed under the name Nicotiana tabacum (common tobacco). RNAcentral's name for it is "long non-coding RNA (NTAB_LNC004777)". The record is from RNAcentral. Lineage: Eukaryota; Viridiplantae; Streptophyta; Magnoliopsida; Solanales; Solanaceae.
UAAGUCUCAUUACUGAAUACUCUCACUUAGAGAAUAUCGAAAGCCAACACAAGCCCUAAUAUUUUCCAACCCCAAUCUCUCCGUCAAACCCAAUCUCUGGCGAGUCUCCUCCUCUGGCCACACCUUCAUCGAGCACGCUUCUACGUCUGUUGAGGUAAGCUCUAGCAGAGAAAUUUAUUUUCUUUCCUUUGUGUGUAAGCUUUAGAUGAGAAAUCCCAAGAGUAUUUUCAGAUUUCUUCAAGUUUAUUGCUUUUGGUUAUGCUUCUGAAUUAUUUUGCUGAAGGCAAAAUAACAUCUCUCAACACUAUAGUGUUUUCCCUAAGUUUGGGAAUUUGGUCAUAUUAAUAAUCAAGAGAUAAGCAACUGAAUGUUGAUAGUUGGUGGUUCAAACUGUCUGAUGGGCAAUGGACCUUCAACCUACUGGAAUGGGCUUUGAUUUGAACAGGAACUAAUUCCGCAUCCUUUAGAAACAGCUCUGCGAUGGGCAAUGGAAAUUGCUUCUAUCUUUUCUUCAGCAUGUCCUAUCUCAGAUUAUGAUGUUAUGUUAUUUCUGAAAACCUAGCUGCUUCUGAAUUAUUUUUGUCAUGCUAAGUGAAUCAAUUGUCCAGUAGAAUGUGCUGCCAAUGAUAAUUCCACCCAAUCCUUCACCGAAAGAAACAAGAAUAAAAAGGAAAAUAGGGAAGAAAAGAAAAGGUCAAUAGCUCACGGAUUAAAAAAAUAUAUAAAAAGAAAAGGACGAAGGUGCUUAAGCUAUGAUAUAUACACCUUUUUAUAUGACAAUUGUACAUCUCCUUAAGUAUGGAGACAUUAAUCAAUUUCUGAUGAAAAGUUAAGACAAACAGAUAUAUUUAUAUGAUUACUAGUGUAUGAAGAAAAUAAUGUUGAUAUGCAAAGAUAGCUUCCUUCUGCAUUCUUCCUCACCAAAGCUAGUCUUUUUUAUUUGAUAAUGCAUCGGUACUAAGCAAUUUUGAAUGUUAUGCUUAUAUAGGAUAAAAUAUGUUAUGAUACGUGAAAUAGCCAAAACCGAAAGCGACGGUCCCGUUUGUCACCAGAAAGAAUAACGCUCAUAAAGAUUCAAUAAAUACUCUUCGCCCAGUAGCAUUUAAUGGAGAAUAUUCCACAAUAUUAAGUACGUUGCCCGUUACAAGGAAUUUAUCAUUUAUGCUCACUGUUACAUCUUCAUCAAUGGCCCUCAUAAUUGACAUUAAAGAAGGGCACGAUCAUAAGACCUUCUUUCCUAGACGUAGCUAUAAAUAGUGAGAUUUGUUAUCAUUGAAAGGACACUGAUUUUUUGAAAAACUAAUACUAUAAUCUACUCAAAACUCUAAUCAAUUUUACCUUCUUAUUUUCUGUUUCUUGUUCUUAUUAUUAUUGCGCCCGGAGGUUUCACUAUCAGAGUCUUUAUUUUUGUUAUUUCGUCUUCCUAUCAAGGCUAAGUGUUAUAUAUUUCUUCAAUUAUCUUGUUAUUUCAGGAUUGAAUUAAUUUACUUGUCUAGAAACUACAUAUAAAUUCAACUGUACCAUUUUACGGGUAAAUAGUUUGGCGCCCACUGUGGGGCCUAGACAGCCGUGCAAUUAAGUUGAUCCUUUUCUUUUUUACUAACGUGCUUUGAUUAUUAUCUUAGAAAAAAUCAUAAGAAAUGACAGAUAACGGUGUUAACAACACGCACAAUCUCGAGGUUCGAGGGGAUCAACCUCAUUUCGAGGACUCAAUCAGUUACACGCACAACGAGGGGAAUGAUAGCACGCCGGUGCAUGAUCCUCGAUGUGUUCGGGAGUAAUUGACGCGGUAAGGGUCCUACAAGAAUAAUAUGCGAUCAUUCUAGGCCACUUCAUGCGACAGGAUAAGGUUAUGAUGGAGUUGAAGUAGGCGCUGUCGGGGGCUUCGAAUAAUGCGAAUAGACGAGAUCUGGUUCUUCCUGAUGCUCCCACGAAUGAAACCAUGCUGAGGGUUGACAACACCACCCCGAGGGGUGAAGUUGGCUCCGAUGGGGUCAAGGGGAUCGGAUCCGGCCUCAAUAAUAAAAAUGAUCCCUUCAAGAAUGAACUCUUACGAUUUAUGAGGAGCAUGGACCAAAUCUCGGGCACACCACCGGUGUUGAAAGGUCCGGACUCAAAGAAGUAUAUGUAAUUGCCAUACAAGCUAAGUGCGGCACCAGAAUUAAUCCCGAAGCUGUUUAAAAUGCCUGAUAUGCCAAAGUAUAACGAAACUUCAUACCCUCAAGAGCAUAUCACCACCUAUACAACGGUGGUGAAGUGAAAUGAUUUAGCUCCUCAUGAAAUUGAAUCUGUUUUGGUGAAGAAAUUUGGAGAGACUCUCAAGAGGAGCCUUGAUGUGGUAUUCAUUGUUACCCGAGCAUUCCAUAGACUCCUUUGAGAUGCUCGUGGACUCUUUCAUCAAGGCUCAUGCCGGGGCCAGAAAAGUACAGGCCCUAAAGGCCGACAUAUUCAGAAUUUUGCAAGGAGAGUCUAAGUUGCUACGAGAGUUCGUUACCCGAUUCCAGAAGGAGAGAAUGUUGUUCCCGGCUGUCCCAGAUGAAUGGGAGGCUAAAGCAUUCACGAAGGGACUGAAUCCGAGAAGUUCAGUCGCUUCCCAAAAUUUGAAGGAAAGCCUACUUGAGUUUCAAGCAACGACUUGGGCGGAUGUCCACAACCGGUACGAAUCAAAGAUAAGGAUCGCAGAUGAUCAGGUUGGCUUUCCAUUGUAGACAAAAGGACGGGAGAAGUACAGAGAAAAAUCAAAAGACGAUCUUGACAUGGACAUACAGUCUUCGAUGGGGCGAUUUUUGCCAUACGAACGGACCGAAGACAGCGGCAGAAGCUUCUGGUCAGUGGACAUGUUUACCACCGACAGAAGAAUUGAUCUUGGUCAGAACAAUAGACCAUUGCGGGAUAAAGAAGUGUCGGGGGCGCGAGAUCCUUCUUACACCAAGUUGCUUGAAUACAAUUUUAAUGUUAGUGUAGUAGAGUUGGUGUCAGCCAUGAGAAACAUCAAAGAAGCAUGGUUUCCGAAACCAAUAAGAUCUGAUCCCAGCCAGAGGGAUCCCAACUUGUGGUGUGAAUACCAUGGGACAAAUGGCCACCGGACAUGGGACUACCGACACCUCCGAAAAGAAGUGGUAAAAAUAUUGAAGAAUGGUCAUCUCGGAGAAUUAUUGAGUGACUGAGCUAAGAACAAUUAUGGUUGUAACCGGGACAAAGCAGAAAACUCGAAAGCAUGAGAAGAUCCCCGCGCCAAACGAUCAACAUGAUCUUCGGGGGGGACGAGAUCAACGGGGUCACCUUUUCGGUAGCAAAAAAGACAAAAGUAUCAAUUACUCAUAGCAAAAGGCUUCGGGAAGUCAUCGAAGACAAUAUUACUUUCACGGAGGAGAACGGAGACAGAUUGCUACUACCGCACAACGACGCACUGAUAGUUUCUUUAAAUCUGCUAGAUUUUAAGAUUAAACGUGUUCUAGUGGAUCCAGGAAGUUCGGCCAAUAUCAUACAAUGGAGAGUAUUGGAGCAAGCUAAAUUCACUGGAAGCAUCAUUCCAGCCACAAAGAUCUUCGCCGGAUUCAACCUCGCGAGCGUGACAACCCGAUGAGAGAUUUUGUUACCCACAAACGCCGAAGGAGUAACAAAAACAACUCUUUUCGGAGUGGUAUAUGGUGAUAUGGGAUAUAACAUUAUCCGUGGAAAGUCGUGGUUGCACGAGAUGAAAGUUGUACCAUCAACAUAUUAUCAAUUGCUGAAGUUUCCAACGCCCGAAGGAGUUAACGGAUAAAGGUGACCAACCGGCAGCAAUGGAGAUGAAUGCAAUUCCAAUCUCCAGUAUAAAAGGAAAGGAACACACGGCAUAGCAAUUACAGGAACCGAUGCCCUAUCCCGAACUAGAUGAAGUUAGUUCGGGGGCAAAAAUGUCAGAAUUUUAUCAGGUGCCGAGAUAUUUCCAGGUUCCAGAAGUGACGGAUGCAACAUAACCCACAGUAGAAAAACUUGAGCAAGUUGCAUUGUUCGAAGAGUUCUUAGAAAGAAAAUUCCACUUGGGGACAGGACUGCACCCCAAGCUCAGGUCUGGAUUUAUUAAAUUUCUUAAAUCUAAUACCGAUUGUUUUGCAUGGUCGCAUACAGAUAUGAAAGGUAUCCUGACGGAGGUAGCCAUGCACAAGUUAAGUAUGGAUCCCAACGUACCUCCGGUAAGACAAAAGAAAUGCCAUAUUGCCGAAGCCAUGAAUAAAUUCGUCAAGGAAAAGGUAAUUCGCUUACUUAAUAUCGGUUCGAUCCGAUAGGUAAAGUAUCCAGACUGGCUUGCUAAUAUAGUAGUAGUUCCUAAGAAGAACAAUAAAUUUCACAUGUGUGUAGAUUAUAAAGAUUUGAAUAAGGCGUGCCCAAAAGACUCGUUCCUAUUGCCAAACAUCGCUCAAAUGAUUGAUGCUACGGCCGGGCACGAGUUAAUGAGUUUCCUCGAUGCUUAUUCCGAGUAUAAUAAAAUUAAGAUAAACGCAGAGGAUCAGGAAAAGACUUCGUUUAUUAUGAAUUUCAGUACAGAUUGCUAUAAUGUGAUGCCCUUCGGGUUGAAAAACGCCUGAGCCACAUAUCAACGGCUCGUGAAUAAGAUGUUUGAAAAGAAAAAAGGAAAAACUAUGGAAUUUUAUAUAGACGAUAUGUUCGUUAAGUCUUUAAAUGCAGGUGAUCGCCUUAAGUAUUUGCAAGAAACUUUUGACAUCCUAAGGAAGCAUAAUUGAAACUUAACCCCAAGAAAUACGCGUUCGGGGUCAGCCCUGGCAAGUUUCCAGGAUUUUUGGUAUCACAAAGGGGAACUGAGGUAAACCCGGAUAAGAUCAAGGCCAUUGAAUACAUCCCGGACCAACUGUCAAGCGUGAAGGAAGUCUAAAGGCUCACGGGGAGAUUGACAGCUUUGAGCAGGUUCAUUUUCCGGUCAUCAGAAAAAUGUUACCGUUUCUUCGCACUGCCAAAAAAGAAAAAUAAUUUCGAAUGGACCCCGGAGUGCCAGCAGGCUUUGAGAGAUUUGAAAAAGUACUUGUCAAGCUCUUCGUUGCUUUCGAAAUCAAAAGAAGGUGAAACGUUGUUAGUCUACUUCGCGGUCUUGGAAGUCACAGUAAAUGCAGUUUUAGUCCGUGAGGACAAAUGUACACAAUUUCCUAUUUAUUACGUUAGUAAUAUUUUAACGGGAGCAGAAACUCGAUACCCCCAUUUGGAGAAACUGGCCUUAACUCUCGUAGUCGCCGUUCGGAAGCUGAUGCCCUACUUGCAAUGUCACCUGAUAGUCGUGGUGACCACUUUCCCUUUGCAGAACAUCCUUUACAAACUCGAGCUCGUGGGUAGAUUGGUCAAAUGGGCCGUCGAAAUGAGUGAGUUCGACAUAUAAUAUAAACCAAGGGUUGCAAUUCAGUCACAAGUCUUGGAUGACUUUGUGGCCGAUUUCAGUUCGAGAUUACUGCCUCUGGCAACCAAAGAGGCAGUAAUGGUGUCGGAAUCGACAUCGAGGGUUUGGACCUUAUUUACGGACAGAGCCUCCAACGUGAAAGGGUCCGGUCUUGGUAUAGUAGUAAUCACGCCUUCGGGGGAAAUCCUAAGGCGAGCCAUUAGAAUGGUCCCUUUAAAUAAUAAUGAAGUAGAGUAUAAGGCUUUUAUUGCAGGGCUCGAACUGGCCUGGGGACUUGAUUCUGAGGUCAUCAAAAUCAAAUGCGACUCACAGCUAGUGGUAAAUCAGGUCUACGGGAUCUUCGAAACCAAAGAGGUGUGCAUGCAACAAUAUGUGGUAAAAGUCCAGGCUCUAUUGGCGCGAUUUCAGGAGUGGUCGAUUACUCAUAUCCCGAGGGAAGAUAAUGCAGAAUCUCAUUAGAUAACCUUGGAUCAUUGAUAGAAAUAAAAGGAUCGGAGUCUGGGGCGGUAGUACAACUGAUGAACUCGGUCUUGGAUACAAAUAAAUAUUGUGAGGUAAAUACGACUAAAUUGGUCUGGGACUGGAGGAAUGAAAUCAUCGAUUAUCUCGAGCAUGGAAAGUUGCCUGAAGACUCUAAAGCGUCCCAGGCGCUGCGCGCCAAAGCAGUGCGAUAUAGCUUCAAGAGAGGCCAAUUAUAUAGAAAAUCUUUCCAAGGCCCGCUGGCCCGAUGCUUGGGGGCAUCCGAACUAACUAUGUUAUGCGAGAAGUCCACGAAGGGAUAUGCGGUAAUCAUUCAGGCGCAGAUUCCUUAGUGCUGCAAUUGGUAAGGGAAUGAUAUUAUAGGCCCUGUAUGGAAUAGGAUGCCAAAGACUUCGUACGAAAGUGUGAUAAGUGCCAACGCUACGCACCAUUGGUACAUCAACCGGCAGAACUGUUGCAUUCGGUUCUGUCCCUGUGGCCGUUCAUGAAAUGAGGGAUGGGCAUCGUCGGACCAUUGCCGCCGAUCCCCGAAAAGGUAAGAUUUCUUUUGAUUUUGACUGACUAUUUUUCUAAGUGGGUGGAACCAGGUCCUUAUCAGAAUAUCGACGACCGCGAAGUGGUGGAUUUCUUGUGAAAAAAUAUAAUUUGCAGGUUCGAUAUACCAAAAGAUAUAGCAUGCGAUAAUGGGCCACAAUUUAUCGGUGCGAAAGUCCCAAAGUCCCUCGAAGAUUUAAAAAUAAAGAGGAUCACAUAUUCACCCUUGGGAUUAAGUGUCCCAUUUUACUCUGAAACAUCCCCGGAACCAAAUUUAUUUGACCAAAUUUUGACUUAUGUGAAAAAGACCCCGAAACCGUAUUUUUAUGGCUCUGAUAGCUUCGAAUCGUGAUUUCGGACUUGGGCAUAUGACCAAAAUUGAUUUCGGAAGUCCGUAGGUUUAUUUGUGUUGAUUUGCCAAAAUUUGGUAAUUUGAGGUUGAAAAGUUUAACCGUAAGUUUGAAUUUUAGAUAUCGAGCUAGGAAUUUAAUUUUGGUACUUGGAAUAGGUCAGUUAUGCUAUUUAGAAAUUGUCUACAAAAUUUGGUUCCAAGGGCUGGAAAAUGGGAUUUUUGAAAACAUUCCCUCAAUUUUAACACUAGAGUCGGUAUGAGACGAUUUGGAAAGGGGAUUUUCAUCUACAAACUUUGGGUAAGUGAUUCUAAUCUAUUUACAACUAUAUUUCAUGACAAUAUCAUAGAUUUAACAUCAAAUUUAUGUGAUUCAAAGGGGGAAAAUUGGGAAAUUUUAUCAAGUUUUUAAAAAAUGAGAAAUUGAGUUUUGAGAGUUGUGUUGAACUCGGGUUUUGAAAUUGUACACACACACACACACACAUAAUUCUUCCAAUAGUCAGGUCCAAGGGUAGAUUCCUACUACCCAUAACCCCACGAAUCCAUAUAUGUGAUUAGUUUCAAAAUCCGAGUCCAACUCGACUCUCAGAACUCAAUUUCUCAUUUUUCAUAAACUUGAAAGAUUUUUCCAAUUUUUCCUCUUUGAUUCACAUAAAUUUGAUGUUAAAUCUACUAUAUAUUCAUGAAAUAUAGUUGAAAAUUGAUUAGGAUCACUUACCCAAUGUUUAUAGAUGAAAAUCCCCUCUCCAAAUCGCCUCCUACCGAGUCUAAGGUUCAAAAUCUCGACUUUUCUAACCUUUUGUUCAGUUGCAGUUAUUACAAUUGCGACAUGGGUUCGCAAUUGCGAAGAAAUCCUCACAAAUACAGCCACUGACAACCUAAGAGGAGGUCGCAAAUGCGACAUUGGCUUCGCAUUUGCGAAGCCUAUCCUCAUCGCAAAUGUGACUCUUUUGUCGCAAAUGUGAACUACCUGACCUCCUAUAACUAUUCGCAAUUAUGACCUAGGUAUCACAAUUACAACACCUGAGGCCCCCUGCUAAGGUCGUAAUUGGGACCUUGGUGUUCGCAAAUGCGACACUAGAGGCAUCAGCACACAAGAUUCUAUUUUUCAGUCCAAAACAUUCUAAAACAUGUCCGAAACUAAUCCGAGCCCUCGAGGCUCCAAACCAAACAUCCACACAAGUAUAAAAAUAUCAUACAAACUCAUUUGCGCAAUCAAAACACAAACAUAAUAUCUAGAACUACGAAUCUAACACCAAAAUGCAUGAAUUUCAAGUAAAGUUCAAGAACUUCUAGAAUUGCAACUAAGCGUACGAAUCCCAUCAAAUCAACUCCAAAGGAUACCAAAUUUUGCAUAAAAGUUCAAAAUGGCAUAACAGACCUGUUACACAUCCCAAAAUCAAAUUCCGAACUCGAUAGGCAAAAGUCAAUCAACGGUCAAACUUCUAAGCCUUAAAUUGCCAAUUUUCCAUAAAACAGCACAAAUCAAUCCACGGACUUCCGAAUUCGAUUCCGGACAUACGCUCAAGACCAAAAUCACGAUACGAUGUUAUCAGAGCCAUCAAAAUACUUUUCGGGGUCAUUUUCACAAAAGUCAAUCAUUUGUCAACAUAAAUAACUUAGGCUUCUAAGCCAAGCAUCAAAGGGUCCAAUUCAACUUGAAAUCUUCCCAGAAUGAAACCAAUCAACCCUUUAAGUCAUUAAACUAUAAACACACAUGUGUGAAGCAUCAAAAGGGAAAACGGGACACAAAACGACCAGUUGAGUCGUUACAUUCUUUUCGCAAAUGUGACUCUUUCGUCGCAAAUGCGAACUACCCUCUUGUAACUAUUCGCAAUUGCGACCCAGGUAUAGAAAUUGCGACACCUGAGGCCCCCUUACUAAGGUCGCAAUUGCGACCCUAGUGUUUUCAAAUGCGACACCAUAGGCACCAGCACACCAAAUUCUGUUUUUCAGUCCAAAACAUUCUGAAACAUGUCUUAAACUCAUCUGAAACCUUAGGGCUCCAAACCAAACAUCCACACAAGUCUAAAAAUAUCAUAUGAACUCGCUCGUGAUCAAAAUACAAAAAUAAUAUCUAGAACUACGAAUCGGACACCAAAACGCAUGAAUUUUGAAGUAAGUUCAAGAACUUCUAGAAUUGCAACUAAGCGUCUGAAUCCUUUCAAAUCAACUCCAAAUGAUACCAAAUUUUGCAGACAAGUUCUAAAUGUCAUAACGGACCUAUUACACAUCCCAAAAUUAAAUUCCUAACCCGAUAGCCAAAAGUCAACCUACGGUAAAGCAUCUAAGCCUUAAAUUGCCAAUUUUUGGUAAAACAAUCAAUCUACGGACUUCUGAAUUUGAUACAAAGAUAUCAGAGCCAUCAAAACACCGUUUUGAGGUUGUUUUCACAAAAUUUAACCAUUGGUCAACAUAAACAACUUAGGCUUUUAAGUCAAGAAUCAAAGGGACCAAUUCAACCCGAAAUCUUCCCGAAAUGAAACCAAUCAACCCCGUAAGUCAUAAAAUCAUAAACACACAUGUGUGAAGUAUCAAAAAGAAAAACGGGGCGUAAAUACAUAAAACGACCAGCCGGGUCAUUACAUUCUUCCCCUCUUAAAACAAACGUUCAUCCUCGAACAUGUAUAAAGACAUACCUUGAGGAGAUGAAAAGGUGAGGAUAACGACCCCGCAUAUCGUGCUCAGUCUCCCAGGUCGCCUCUUCGACCGGAUGACCCCUCCAUUGAACCUUCACCGAAGCAAUGUUAUUUGAUCUCAACUUCUGGACUUGUCUGUCUAAGAUAACCACUGCCUCCUCAAUAUAAGUCAAAUCAUUGUCCAAUUGGACUGAGCUGAAGUCUAAUACAUGGGAGGGAUCACCAUAAUACUUCCGGAGCAUAGAACUUAGAACAUCAGAUGAACUGCAGAUAAGCUAGGUGGCAAUGCAAGCUUGUAGGCCACCUCACCAACUCUCUCAAGGAUCUCAAAAGGACCGAUAUACCUAGGGCUCAACUUUCCCUUCUUUCCGAACCUCAUCACACCCUUCAUGGGGUGAAACCCAAAGCAAAACCCGCUCUUCCACCAUAAAUGCUACAUCACAAAACUUUCGAUCAGCAUAACUCUUCUGCCUUGACCGUGUUGUAUGAAGCCAAUCCUGCAUCAACUUGACUUUCUCCAAGGCAUCUCGAACAAAAUUUAUGCCCAACAAUCUAGCCUCACCGGGAGCAAACCAACCAACUGGAGAACGGCACAGUCUCCCAUAUAGGGCCUCAUGAGGAACAAUCUGAAUACUCGAUUGGUAGCUAUUGUUAUACGCGAACUCUAUAAGUGACAAACACUGAUCCCAAGAACCCCCAAAAUACAUAACACAGGCACGAAGCAUAUCAUCUAAAAUCUGAAUGGUGCGCUCGGACUAUUCAUUCGUCUGUGGAUAAAGUGUUGUACUCAACUCAACCUGUGUGCCUAACUCACAUUGUACGGCUCUCCAGAAGUGCAAUGUAAACUACGUGCCCCGGUCAGGGAUGAUGGAUGCCGGCAUGCCAUAAAGUUGAACAAUCUCGCGGAUAUAAAUCUGACCCGGCUGCUCUGAAAAAUAGGUAGUCACCACCGAAAUGAAAUGAGCCGACUUGGUCAACCUAUCCACAAUCACCCAUACAUCGUCAAAUUUCUUCAAAGUAUGUGGGAUCCCAACAACGAAGUCCAUGGUAACACACUCCCACUUCUACUCAGGAAUCUCAAGUCUCUAAAGCAACCGGCAUGGCCUCUAAUGCUCAUACUUCACCUGCUGACAAUUUAGGCACCAAGUCACAGACUCCACUAUAUCUUUAUUCAAUACCCUUCACCAAUAGUGUUGUCUCAAAUUCUGAUACUUCUUAGCGGCACCCGAGUGAAUGAAGUAUCGCGAGCUGUGGGCCUCCUGAAGGAUUAACUCCUGUAACUCAUCUACAUUAUGCACACAUAACUGACCCUGCAUUCGCAAAACACCGGCAUCUCCAAUAGAAAUCUCCUUGGUAUCGUUACGUUGUACCAUGUCCUUAAGGACAAGCAAAUGGGGGUCGUCAUACUGACGCUCUCUAAUGCGAUCAUACAAAGAAGACUGAGAAACCACACAAGCAAGAACUUGACUGGGCUCCAAAACAUCUAAUCUAACAAAUCGAUUAGCCAAGGCCUGAACAUCUAGAGCUAGCGGCCUCUCUACUGCCGGUAGAUAUGCUAAACUGCCCAUGCUCUCUACCUUUCAACUCAAGGCAUCGGCCACCACAUUGGCCUUCCAAGGAUGAUAUAGAAUAGUGAUAUCAUAGUCUUUAAGUAACUCUAACCACCUCUGCUGCUGCAAAUUAAGAUAUUCCUAUUUGAACAGAUGUUGUAGACUCCGGUGGUCAAUAUAGACCUCACAUAGGACACCGUACAGAUAAUACCUCCAAAUCUUCAAUGCAUGAACAAUAGUUACCAAUUCCAAGUCUUGCACCGGAUAAUUUUUCUCAUGAAUCUUCAGCUGUCGAGACGCGUGGGCAAUUACCCUACUAUCUUGCAUCAACACUGCACCAAGGCCAACACAUAAUGCAUCACAAUACACAGUGUAAGACCCCAAACCCGUAUGCAACACCAACACUAGGAUUGUAGUCAAAGCAGUAUUAAGCUUUUGAAAGCUCACCUCACACCCCUAGGACCAUCUGAAAGGAGCACCCUUCUGGGUCAAUCUGGUCAUAGGUGCAACAAUGUAUGAGAAACCCUCUACGAAACAAUGAUAAUACCCCGGGCAAACCAAGAAAACUCUGAAUCUCAGUAGCUGAAGAUAGUGUGGGCCAACUCUGAAUUGCCUCAAUAUUCUUUGGAUCUACUUUGAUCCCCUCACUCGACACCACAUGGCCCAAAAAUACCACUGAAUCAAGCAAUAAUUCACACUUUGAGAAUUUUGCAUACAACUUCUUUUCUCUCAAGGUCUGGAGCACAAUCCUCAAAUGAUGAUCAUGAUCUUCCUGACUGCGGGAGUACGCCAAGAUGUCAUCAAUAAAUAUAAUGAUGAAUGAAUCAAGAUAUGAAUGGAACACACUGUUUAUCAGAUGCAUAAAUGUUGCUGGGGUGUUGGUCAGCCCAAAAGAUAUCACAAGGAACUUAUAGUGACCAUACCGAGUCUUGAAGGCGGUCAUCGGGAUAUCCGAAUCCCGAAUCUUCAGCUGAUGAUACCCUGACCUCAAAUCUAUCUUUGAGAAUACCCUGGCACCUUGAAGUUGGUUAAAUAAGUCACCAAUGCAUGGUAAUUACAUGUUCUUCACUGUAACAUUGUUCAAUUGCCUAUAAUCAAUACACAUGCGCAUAGAACCAUCCUUCUUCUUCACAAACAAAAUCGGAGAACCCCAAGGCAACACAUUAGGCCGAAUGAAAACCUUAUCAAGCAACUCUUGCAACUGAUCCUUUAACUCUUUCAACUCCGAUGGGGCCAUACCAUAUGGUGGAAUAUAAAUAGGCUGAGUGUCCGGCAAUAAAUCAAUACCAAAAUCGAUAUCCCUAUCGGGCGACAUGCACGGAAGAUCUGUUGGAUAUACAUCUUGGAAGUUUCUCACCACCGAAAUUGACUUAACGGUAGGAGUAUCAACACUAACAUCUCUCACAAAGGCUAGAUAUGUAUCACACCCCUUCUCAACUAUCUGUUGUGCCUUAAGGAAGGACACAAGAACAUAAUCCAAUAUAAUCCACUCUAACAUCAGCUAACCUGGCAUAGCUAGUGUCAUAGUCUUGGUGUGGCAAUCCAUAAUAGCAUGAUAAGGUGACAAACAGUCCAUACCCAAGAUAACAUCAAAGUUUAUCAUACUGAGUAAUAAUAGAUCAACUUUGGUCUCAAAACCACCAAUAACAACUAAAGACAAUCGAUACACACGAUCCAUAAUAAUAGAAUCUCCCACAAGCAUGGACACAUAUACAGGAGAACUCAAAUAUUCACGAGAUAUAUCCAAAUAUGGAGUAAAGUAAGAUGAAACAUAUGAGUAAAUGGAUCCUGGAUCAAAUAAAACGGAUGCAUCUCUAUGACAAACGCGAACAAUACCUGUGAUAACUGUGUCUUAUGCGACCGCCUCCGUCCUGCCUGGAAAAGCAUAGAACCUAGCCUGACCUCCCCCUCUAGAGUGACUUCUACUCACCUGAUCCUCACACCUGGCUGGUUGUGCAGGUAGAGCGGCAGCUGGAGCGGCAACCAUGAGAUGUGAAGUCUGUAGACUAGGUGGAAUCCGUGGAACCUGAGUAGCCUAUAGAGGUGCACCCUUCCUGAGUCUGGGGUAGUCCCUCACCAUAUGAUGGGUAUCACCACACCCAAUACAAUCUCUUGGUGGGUGUGGUUGCUGAAACUGGGUUAGGCCUGGUCGGCUGGACUGACCGCUGAAGGCACCCCGUGCAGAAGGUGCACUAGAAAAUGGCUGAGCAAAGUGUGCAACCUGAGACCUCGGAGUAGCCGGAGCACCACUAGAAGCUGGAAAUGUUGAAUGAACUGGACGGCUCACACAACCUCUACCAUGAUGGGUUCUAACUGUAGUGUGGCCACCACUAAAUCAUCCAGUACCUCGAGGCCUUUUGGCAUCCCUAUCCUCUCUCUCAUAGCCCCGCAUACCCUCCAACCUCCGUGCGAUCUCUACCACUUACUGAUAUGGGUUAUCUGUCUCCAACUCUUGAGCCAUGCUGAAUCUAAUACCAUAGUUGAUCCCCUUGAUGAAUCAGCGGACUCACUCUCUGACUGUAGAAACCAAGGCAGGUGCAUGUCUGGACAACUCACUGAAUCUGACAGCAUACUCUGACACUGUCAUAGUACCUUGGCACAGCUGCUCAAACUCUAUGCGCCAUGCAUCAGGAAGGCUUUGGGAACAAACUUUCACAAGAACGUCUCUAAAAACUGAGUCCAUAUGAGUGAAGCUGCUUCAGUUGGGCUACCCUCCCCGCAAGCCUGUCACCACUGAUACACUACCCCUGCAGCUAGAAUGUAACACAAGCAACUCUGCUUGUCUCCAUAAUACCCAUGGUGCGGAAAAUACAGUGGCACUUCAUUAGAAAACUCUGCUAGGCUGCUGAAAGUAGGAGGGUGAUAUUUCUUGAACCUCUCAAGUCUAAAAUGCUCCUCCUCAGAUGCCACUGCCCUAACCUCUGGCUGAACUGGAAUAAUACGCUGUGCUAGCAAAACCUCUACUACCUGAUCAAAAUGGACCCUCUGCUCUAGAGUACGGGCCACGGGAGUCUGAUAUCCUCCCCCAGCCUGAGAUGUAGCUGGAUCAAGUGGAAUCAACUCCGUUUGAGAUAGAGUAUCGAACAUGCUCAAGAACUGUGCUAGGGUCUCCUGAAGUGUAGGGGUGACAACAUGCGCCUUGGGUGCCUAUCCCUCAACUGGCGUUACUGGUGGCUCAUCAAUAGCUGUUUGGGUAGGUGCUCUGGCUACACCACGUUCCCCUCUUCGGCCUCUGCCCCGGCCUCUCGCGGUUCUAGUAGGGGGCGUGGGUGUCUGAUCGUAGGAUCCAACGGUGCGUGUCCUCACCAUUUGUAAGUGAAUAGAAAGACAAAGAUUCGGAAUUUUGAAGUCAAAAAAUUCACACGAUAAGGAAUCAAAGAAGUGAAGUUUCCUAACAGUUCCGUAGCCUCUCGAAGAUAAGUACAAAUAUCUCUGUACCGAUCUAUAAGACUCUACUAAACCUGGUUAUGACUAGUAAUACCUAUGAACCUAGAGCUCUAAUACCAACUUGUCAUGACCCCAACACCCCACCGGAGGAUGUCGUGAUGGCACCUAGUCUCUAAGACUAGGUAAGCCUGACAUGCAUGGAGAAAUAGCGGAAAUAAUAACAGAAAUUCAAAUUUAAACCAUCUAGCUAUCAUAAUAGAACUCAACAAUACCGCUGAUAAUAACUCCCAAAAUCUGGUGAGAUUGAGUCAUAAGCUCUACACGAGUAUACUGUAAAAUUCUUAAUAUAUCACUAUCAAAAUAAAUAGUAAGCAGUAGAAAAACAAGGACAGAGGGUGACUCCGAGGCCUGCGAACGUUGGGCAGGUAUACCUUGAAGUCUCUGAACUGAAUGCUCUACUCACUGGUGCCUAGCCUAGGUCGAGGUACAUGGAUCUGCACAAAAAUGUGCAGAAGAAUAGUAUGAGUAUACCACAAUGGUACCCGAUCAGUAUCAAGCCUAACAUUAGUAGAGUAGUGACGAGGUCGGGACAAGACACAUACUAGGAUAAGAAAAAGAAACUGAACUAGUGUAGUCUAGUCUAAUAAUGAAAAUGGGGAAAUAGUGACAAUAAAGCAAUACAACAAGGUAAGCUACAACUUAAUUUUAAGCAAUAAAGGCAAUAACGAAGGAACACAUAAUAAGAACAUCAAGAAAACAAUGUGGACAAAUACAAGUGAGGAAAAUGAGAGAUAACAACAAGAAUCACAAUUGAGGUACCGCCUCGCAAUCUCAUUUCACCAUCACAGUCACAAUCUUUCUUUAUACCUCCACGUGAGCCUUACAGUUAUAUAGUUUUGAAAAUAGUUUUUCCGAAAUAGCUACUCACACUUUAGCCCACCUAAUGACGCCACAGUGCAUCAAUAACACAACACAAUAACAAAUCGCCCAACAAUUGCCUAUAUGCCACAACUUGCCAAAAAAUAAUAAUAUCAAUAUUUUCACAAUAAUAGCAUAUGGCUCAACCACAAUGUAUACAAGAAUGUCAAUAAUAAUAAUAAUGAAUGUGAAUUGCUCAACAAGGAAGAUAUCUCCACAAUUGACAACUUCGCCUCAAUGUGAUAAUGGCUAUCACAAUUUCAAUAUCAAUAACUCAACAAGAGGAUAAUUCACGAAAUAACGACUUCAAGUAAAAGUAAUUCAACAAUUAAGGAUGUAACAAGGCAAUAAGGAAAGCAAUAACUUCAACUAAAGCAUAAGAGCAAAGUAUCAAGUAAGAAGUAGAACAAGUGUUAACAAAGUCAAAUAAGGCAUGUAAGCAUAGACUAACACAAUUAAGAGUAGAUUGACAAUGAGAAUUAAAAUAUGAUAUGACAAUUUAAUUAAUGACAUGGAAAAAGUCUAAUUAAUCUAAACCGGUCAAAUACCACAUAUAACUCAUGUACCCACUCGUCACAUUGCGUACACGACUUUUACAUAAUACAAAUAGCACAAUCAAUCCAGAAUCCUAAGGGGUAGUUCCCCCACACAAAGUUAGGCAAGAUACUUACCUCAACUAGGCCAACUCAACCCUCAAAAAAUAGCUUUUCCCCUAAAAUUUGCCUCCACAUAGCUCAAAUCUAGCCAAAAUUGAUUUAAUAUCAUCAAAUAAUGCAAGAGAAAUACAAUAGAUAAAUUUAUUAUCUUUAUACUUUUUCCAAAAAGAUAACAAAAGUCAACUCCGGGCCCGCCUAGUCAAAACCUGGGUCCAAGGGUGGAUUCCGACUACCCAUAACCCCACGAAUCCAUAUAUAUGAUUAGUUUCAAAAUCCGAGCCCAACUCGACUCUCAAAACUGAAUUUCUCAUUUUUUCAAAAACUUGAUAAAAUUUCCCAAUUUUUCCUCUUUUAUUCACAUAAAUUUGAUGUUAAAUCUAAGAUAUAGUAUGACAUAUAGUUAAAAAUUGAUUAGAAUCACAUGCCCAAUAUUUGUAUAUGAAAAUCCCCUCUCUAAAUCACCUUCUACCGAGUCUAAGAUUCUAAAAUAUGAGAUGAGACUACAUCCUGACUUUUCUAACCUUUUGUUCAGUUGCAGUUGUCGCAAUUGCGAUAUGGGUUAGCAAUUGCGAACAAAUUCUCUAUAACGACUCAACCGGUCAUUUUGAGAAUUAGUGUAUUGUUCGGUGGCUUAAGGUCUCGAGUAGCUUUGUAUUAUGUAUUGUAACUUGCGUGUGUGGUCGGGUUUGAUUUUUGGAUGAUUCGGGAUUGAUUUGGAGGGAUGAUUCUUCUUUUAGAAUCCUAAUAAGUUUGAUCGGGAGUUGACUUCAACAUUAUCGGGUUUGUAAUGUUGUUCCGAGAGUUAGAAUAGGUUCAAUAUGUCAUUUGGAACUUAUAUGCAAAAUUUGGAUUCAUUUCGGCUUGGUUAGGCUUGAAUCAGGUACUUGGUUCGAAAUUUGAAGUUUAUGAACUUAAGAUAUAGAUCUUGAUCGACGAUUCGUGAUUUUGAUGUGGUUAUGUGUGAUUUGAGGCAUCGAGUAGGUCCGUAAUAUGAUCCAAAAAUGAAAGUCGUAGCCCUAUGUGUCUAAUUGUUAGAAAAUAAAACUGUUUAUCAUUUGGAGUUAUGUAAAAAAAAGAGUUAUAGCCAUUAUACAAAGAGGUUGUCUAGAAGAGUUGGGCAAGCUUGUCGGAAUUUGUCCAUCGCGAUCGCGGGAGUAUGGCCGCGAUUGCACAGGGUGAAAACUGAGCUAGAAUUGUUUUUGAAUCGCGAUCGCGAAGAAUGAAACCCCCCCCCCCCCCCCCCCGAAGUGCAUUAAAACAUCAAAUUUUGGGAUUUUGAGUGCAUUUUCUUCACUUUUUUGAGUUCUUGGAGCACAAUGCGAUUUUGGAGGAGAUAAACACCCAAAUCUUGAUGGUAAGUAAUUUUAUCUUUGUUUUGAUUAUAUAUUUUUUUCCAUGGAUUAGUACACCUAAAUUAAGGAUUUGAAGAGAAGAAAUUGGGGGGUUUUCUCUAAAUUUUACUACAAUGAAUAAUUCAGUUUUGAACAUCGAUUCGGAGUCAUAUUUAAGUGAAAUUAGUAUGGUUGGACUCAUAAUUGAAUGUGUUGUCAGAUUUUAUGAGUUUUAUCGGGUUCCGAGGUACAAGCAUGGGUUUGACCUUUUGGGUUGACUUUUUAGUUUUCAUUAAAGAACGAAACUUUUUUAUCCGAAAUUAUUUCCUAUGAUUUUUAUUUAUAAUAUCAAGUUAUUUUGGCUAGAUUUGAGCCGUCUGGAGGUUUGUUUCACAUGAGAAGUUUAUUUUAGAGUAUUGGUUUGGCUUCUUUGAGGUAAGCAUCUUGCCUAACUUUAUAUGGUAGAACUAUCCCUUAGGAUUUGAGUUGUUGUGCUAUUUGUGGCAAGUGAAAGUCGUGUAUGCAAGGUGACGAGUGCGUACUCGGGCUUAUAUGUGAAAAUUGACCAGUUUUGACUCUUAAGCUUCUUUCAUGUAUUUAUUUGGAAUUGUUAGCACAUGUUAUAUCUUUUAUUUGUCAUGUUUACUUUCACAUGCUUUAUUUGAAGUUGUUGUUAUAUGUCACAUCCUUUACUUGUCAAGUUUACUCUUAUAUGCUUUAUUUGAAGUUGUUGUUAUAUGUCACAUCCUUUACUUGUCAAGUUUACUCUUAUAUGCUUUAUUUGAAGUUGUUACCUCUUUUAUCAUUAUGUGACUUCUUUUAUUGUUGAGUUGCUCUUAAUUGAAAUUAUUGUUACAUGAUAUCCUUUCGUUGUCGGGUUAUUCUCAUGCAUAUAAAUAUAGUUUCUAGUUUGUGCCAUCUCUUUCAUUGUAGCCUAUUUCAUACAUUAGAAUCCGAAGUUUGCCAUUUCAUGGAAAUAACUUCAUUAUCGAGUGUAUCCUUAAGCAAUUAAUUGAAGCUGAAGUUAUUGAAAGUCAUUAAUCUAUUUUAAUUGACGUUGUGUUUAAAGGGGGUGUUGUUCAUUGUUGAGUUACUUUUCUUUUUAUUUUGUUGUUAUAGAGAUUCUAUACACAUUGUGUUUGAGCCGUAGACUAUUUUUUAUGGAAAUAUUGAUAUUGUUGAUUCUUUUAGAAAGGUUAUGGCCUAUGGGCACUUGUGGUACGAGUUGAUAUGUCGUGUUAUUGUAAUGUUAGCAAAUAUGAAUUGUUGUGUGGAUUGGUUGUUGUUAUGCGGGGCAUAAGGAUGGCAUCUCAUUGUUGUUGAUUGUACGAAGUGAUACAGGUGGCUAUUGUGUUAUUGUCUGGAGUCAAUAGCAUAUGCGGAUUUUAUUUAAUAGUUGCGCUUACGCAUUCAACCCCGAAAAGGUCGGAUUCGUGCAAAAAAGUAACAUCCAAGAUUUGUGAACCGUGGCAUGAACUAAUUUCUUCACUUCGAUUCCGCCCCUAAAGCUAGCUUCAUUCAAAGUCAAACGAUUCUUUGUUUAAGUUUAAUAAUAAAGUAAAGGAAAUCGGCUUGUUCUUCUAAGUGUGGCUAUUAUAUGGAAUGAUACGGGUUGCUAACGGAGUGAUACGGAUGGCUAAUAAUAUUGUUAGGGCGGAGUGAUAUGGGUGGCUAUCGGAGAGAUAAGAGUGACAAUGUCAGGGAUGAUGUGUGAUGGACUGGGAGCAUUAUGUUGAUGAUAUUCGUGUGAUGGUGUGAUUCUCCUUGUGUAUGUAAUACACCUUACGUGACUUGUUGUGUUGCUUCAAUGAGCUACUCGAUGUCUUUGAUAUUACUUGUUGACUUGGUCUGUAAUAGUACACUCGCACAAGCAUACAUCGUAGUAUACAACUUAUACUGGUUCAGGAGUAUAAAAAUUAACAUUUAUUGAUCAUGCCCAUGCAUUCUUGAAUUAUCUGCUUUCAUGUUGAUAUUGAUCCUGUGACCAUGCUGGACGGAUUGUGAUAUUGAGCAUAUGGCCAUGCCGGGUGGAUUGUAAUAUUACGCCUGUGACCAUGCCAGGCGAAUUGUGAUUGUGAGCCUGUGAUCAUACCGGGCGGAUUGGGAUAUUGGUACGUGAAUUGUCCAUGCGGUUGUGAUUAGACAUGUGGGCACAAGGUGCCGUGAGCAUAUGAUUUGUAGUUUGAGACUCGUGACUUAUGGUUAUGAGAUGAGGUAUCUCGGAGUAAUUCGUUGUGAGACCUGUGUUGAAUGACUUGCUUGUUGGUUGGCAUUUGUUUUCCUUAUAUGUUCUGCUGGUACUUUAACAGUUUUCUUAUUACAUUAAAUGUUUAAAUUAUAUGUUGAUUCUUGUUGCCAUUUACUGAUUCCUUCUUUCAUUAUUAGCUUUAUACUUUUAUACCGCCCAUGUUAUUUUGACUAGUAGGUGUCUUAACUUGUACCUCAUCACUACCCACCAAGAUUAGUCUUGAUACUUACUGGAUACCGACUGUGGUGUACUCAUGCUACACUUAUGCACAUUUUUGUGAAGAUCCAAGUAUUGAAUAUAUCGGACUCGGGCAGAGUUAGCUUAUUGAUCGCGAGGAUUCAAGGUAGAGUUGCUUGGUCGUUGCACUCCCUUGGAGUCAUUUCCUUUCAUUGUACUGUCGGCUUGUUAUUUGAACAUUAUUGUAUUUCGAUCUUCAAGAUCUUUCUAUGUAUUCAGCUAGAGGUCGUGACUCUGUAUUACCUAGUCUUGGGAGGUUGUAGUGAUUAUUGCCUUACUUCACAUUUAUUUCGG